UACGUAGGGGGCGAGCGUUAUCCGGAUUUACUGGGUGUAAAGGGAGUGUAGACGGCGUAUCAAGUCUGAUGUGAAAGGCAGGGGCUUAACCCCUGGACUGCAUUGGAAACUGGUAUGCUUGAGUGCCGGAGGGGUAAGCGGAAUUCCUAGUGUAGCGGUGAAAUGCGUAGAUAUUAGGAGGAACACCAGUGGCGAAGGCGGCUUACUGGACGGUAACUGACGUUGAGGCUCGAAAGCGUGGGGAGCAAACAGG
Molecule: ribosomal RNA, 253 nt
Filed under: uncultured Blautia sp.
Lineage: Bacteria; Bacillati; Bacillota; Clostridia; Lachnospirales; Lachnospiraceae
Description: partial 16S ribosomal RNA
Rfam family: Bacterial small subunit ribosomal RNA
Source: RNAcentral